This 253-nucleotide ribosomal RNA is filed under the name uncultured bacterium. RNAcentral's name for it is "partial 16S ribosomal RNA". It matches the Rfam family "Bacterial small subunit ribosomal RNA", at positions 524 to 776 of the family's 1533-position model. RNAcentral also lists the same sequence under 1 other name. The record is from RNAcentral.
UACAGAGGGUGCUAGCGUUAAUCGGAUUUACUGGGCGUAAAGCGUGUGUAGGCGGUUCGUUAAGUCGGAUGUGAAAGCCCUGGGCUCAACCUAGGAAUUGCAUUCGAUACUGGCGAGCUAGAGUACGGUAGAGGGCGGCGGAAUUCCGGGUGUAGCGGUGAAAUGCGUAGAUAUCCGGAGGAACACCGAUGGCGAAGGCAACCGCCUGGGCCUGUACUGACGCUGAGACACGAAAGCGUGGGGAGCAAACAGG